Molecule: microRNA precursor, 146 nt
Filed under: Sorghum bicolor (sorghum)
Lineage: Eukaryota; Viridiplantae; Streptophyta; Magnoliopsida; Poales; Poaceae
Description: MIR6234 microRNA precursor family
Rfam family: MIR6234 microRNA precursor family
Source: Rfam by way of RNAcentral
CUCUUUUCCGUAUGCAAGUGUGUUCCUCUAUUUGAUGCUAAAGGUGGAUGCUCCUAAUGAAACACUUCAAAAAUGUUGUUGUUACAUUUUGUAGUAUUCUUACCUUUAGCGUCAAGAGAGGAACACACUCGCCCACCGAAAAUGAC